Molecule: ribosomal RNA, 497 nt
Filed under: uncultured bacterium
Lineage: Bacteria
Description: partial 16S ribosomal RNA
Rfam family: Bacterial small subunit ribosomal RNA
Source: RNAcentral
GAUGAACGCUGGCGGCGUGCCUAAUACAUGCAAGUCGAGCGAACAGAUGAGGAGCUUGCUCCUCUGACGUUAGCGGCGGACGGGUGAGUAACACGUGGAUAACCUACCUAUAAGACUGGGAUAACUUCGGGAAACCGGAGCUAAUACCGGAUAAUAUAUUGAACCGCAUGGUUCAAUAGUGAAAGACGGUUUUGCUGUCACUUAUAGAUGGAUCCGCGCCGCAUUAGCUAGUUGGUAAGGUAACGGCUUACCAAGGCAACGAUGCGUAGCCGACCUGAGAGGGUGAUCGGCCAAACGGGAACUGAGACACGGUCCAGACUCCUACGGGAGGCAGCAGUAGGGAAUCUUCCGCAAUGGGCGAAAGCCUGACGGAGCAACGCCGCGUGAGUGAUGAAGGUCUUCGGAUCGUAAAACUCUGUUAUUAGGGAAGAACAAAUGUGUAAGUAACUAUGCACGUCUUGACGGUACCUAAUCAGAAAGCCACGGCUAACUACGUG